Molecule: ribosomal RNA, 505 nt
Filed under: uncultured bacterium
Lineage: Bacteria
Description: bacterial SSU rRNA
Rfam family: Bacterial small subunit ribosomal RNA
Source: RNAcentral
GACGAACGCUGGCGGCGCGCCUAACACAUGCAAGUCGAACGGAGUUAUUCUGAAUGAAGUUUUCGGAUGGAUUUUGGAUUAACUUAGUGGCGAAACGGGUGAGUAACGCGUGAGUAACCUGCCCUGGAGUGGGGGACAACAGUUGGAAACGACUGCUAAUACCGCAUAAGCCCACGGUGCCGCAUGGCACAGCGGGAAAAAGGAUUUUAUUCGCUCCAGGAUGGACUCGCGUCCAAUUAGCUAGUUGGUGAGGUAACGGCCCACCAAGGCGACGAUUGGUAGCCGGACUGAGAGGUUGAACGGCCACAUUGGGACUGAGACACGGCCCAGACUCCUACGGGAGGCAGCAGUGGGGGAUAUUGCACAAUGGGGGAAACCCUGAUGCAAGCGACGCCGCGUGGAGGAAGAAAGGUUUUCGGAUUGUAAACUUCUAAUCAGCAGGGAAGAAAAUGACGGUACCUGACCUAAGAAGCCCCGGCUAACUACGUGCCAGCCGCCGCCGUAA